This 372-nucleotide ribosomal RNA is filed under the name uncultured organism. RNAcentral's name for it is "partial 16S ribosomal RNA". It matches the Rfam family "Bacterial small subunit ribosomal RNA", at positions 527 to 896 of the family's 1533-position model. The record is from RNAcentral.
GAACUGUGCGAACGUUAUUCGGAAUCACUGGGCUUAAAGGGUGCGUAGGCGGUUACUUAGUAGGGGUGUGAAAUGCCCCGGCUCAACCGGGGCACGGCGCUCUAAACUGGGUAGCCCUGAGUGAGAUAGAGGUGUGCGGAACUUCCGGUGGAGCGGUGAAAUGUGUUGAGUAUCGGAGGGAACACCAUUGGCGAAAGCGGCACACUGGGUCUCAACUGACGCUGAGGCACGAAAGCCAGGGGAGCAAACGGGAUUAGAUACCCCGGUAGUCCUGGCUGUAAACGAUGAGUACUAGUUGGGAGGGGGUUCGCCUCAUCCUGACGUAGCGAAAGCGCUAAGUACUCCGCCUGGGGAGUAUGGUCGCAAAGGCUG